GCGACAGACUUCUCUGGGAGUGUAGCUAUUACAGCUGUUAUCAUCUCCCUGUUACGGAUGAGCAAGCAGCCUCCAAGAGCUGGAGUGGUUCGACCUUCAGUGCCUUCUUGCCUCCACCCCAGGCCAGCAUGGCAUCCACAGCCCCAGCAGCUUCUCAAACCAGAGGAUGCAGUUGCUAGUGAAAACAAAGAAGAUGGCAAGCCCCUGAGGUGUUCUAGAAAAUGGAUGUAUGCUGUGAGACCUGUUUCUGAGGAUACCUUGUGGAUUCUGAACAAUGAAAGGAUCUGCUCAGAUGCCCUGAUUUCCACCCACACCAGCUCUGACUCUGCUGGAGAUGUUCUUUCUCCCUCUGAUUCCAGGUGCUGCCGCAUCCACUUUCUGCCCCAUCUGUCAGCUUUGCCCCAACCCUGAGCACAAAGGCAUGGAGCAUGAAGCCCAUCUCCCCUUCACUGGGCAGUGUUCUCUUUGGUAUGAAGAUCAGCCCAUUGGAUGUCCUGGCCUCCUUUUAAUACAUAACUCUGCUCACCC
Monodelphis domestica (gray short-tailed opossum) is the source of this 528-nucleotide long non-coding RNA. RefSeq lists it as uncharacterized. NCBI's taxonomy places the organism in Eukaryota, Metazoa, Chordata, Mammalia, Didelphimorphia, Didelphidae. The record is from RefSeq and is a predicted model, not a curated record.